This 253-nucleotide ribosomal RNA is filed under the name uncultured bacterium. RNAcentral's name for it is "partial 16S ribosomal RNA". It matches the Rfam family "Bacterial small subunit ribosomal RNA", at positions 524 to 776 of the family's 1533-position model. The record is from RNAcentral.
UACGUAGGGUGCAAGCGUUGUCCGGAAUUAUUGGGCGUAAAGAGCUCGUAGGCGGUCUGUCGCGUCUGCUGUGAAAACUCAGGGCUUAACCCUGAGCUUGCAGUGGGUACGGGCAGACUAGAGUGCGGUAGGGGAGACUGGAAUUCCUGGUGUAGCGGUGAAAUGCGCAGAUAUCAGGAGGAACACCGGUGGCGAAGGCGGCCCCCUGGGCCGCUCCUGACGCUGAGACGCGAAGGCCAGGGUAGCGAACGGG